AGUCCUUCAGUAUACAUGUGCACACUCACACACACAACCACACACACAGCACACACAGGUGAUACAGGAGAUAUACUGGCUUGGGUCUUUACCCCAGGGGGACCCUGAGUCCUUUUAGCUGUUGCUAGUGAGACCUGCUUCUUCGAUCAAAUUCCCACAAUCUGCAAGUGCUUUAAGAAGGCAUGGGGGCAAAAGGGCCUUGGAUUCAGCUCCAGAAACUUCUUAGCUGGUUGAUUAGAGAUCCAGACUGGGACCAGCAUCUGGACAAGCUCUACAUGUUACAACAGAAGAGGAUGUGGGAGUCCCCACUGCUUCGAGCGGCCAAGGAAAAUGACUUGUGUGCCCUGAAGAGACUUCUAGUAGACCAAAAGUGUGACUUUCGACAAAGAGGAGCCCUGGGGGAGACGGCGUUGCAUGUAGCUGCCCUCUAUGACAACCUGGAGGCCGCCAUGGCACUGAUAGAGACGGCCCCAGCUCUCGUCACAGAACCGAUUGGGUGUGAGCCAUUUGUAGGUCAGACUGCACUGCACAUCGCCGUCAUGAACCAGAACGUGAACCUGGUGCGCGCCCUGCUUGCCCGCGGGGCCAGCGUCUGUGCCAGAGCUACGGGCUUUGCCUUCCACCUCAGCCCCCACAACCUCAUCUACUAUGGAGAGCACCCGCUGUCCUUUGCUGCCUGUGUGGGCAGUGAGGAGAUCGUCCGGCUGCUCAUCGAGCAUGGCGCUGACAUUCGGGCCCAGGACUCCCUGGGAAACACGGUGCUUCACAUCCUCAUCCUGCAGCCCAACAAAACCUUUGCCUGUCAGAUGUACAACCUGCUGCUGUCGUAUGAUGGAGGGGACCACCUGCAGUCCUUGGAAAUGGUGCCCAACCACCAGGGCCUCACCCCCUUCAAGCUGGCCGGAGUGGAGGGCAACACAGUGAUGUUCCAACACCUGAUGCAGAAGCGGAAGCACAUCCAGUGGACGUACGGGCCGCUCACCUCCACCCUCUAUGACCUCACCGAGAUCGACUCUUGGGGAGAAGAGUUGUCGUUUCUGGAGCUCGUGGUCUCCUCCAAGAAGCGCGAGGCUCGCCAAAUCCUAGAACAGACUCCAGUGAAGGAGCUGGUGAGCCUAAAGUGGAAGAAAUACGGGCGGCCCUACUUCUGUGUACUGGGCACCUUGUACAUCCUGUACAUGAUCUGCUUCACCACUUGCUGUGUCUACCGCCCCCUCAAGUUCCGAGAUGGCAACCGCACAAGUUCUCGGGAUAACACCAUCCUCCAACAGAAGCUCCUGCAGGAGGCCUAUGUGACUUACCAGGAUAACAUCCGGCUGGUGGGGGAGCUGGUGACCAUCAUUGGGGCUGUGAUUAUCCUGCUCCUAGAGAUCCCAGACAUUUUCAGAGUCGGAGCCUCGCGAUAUUUUGGACAGACAGUCCUUGGGGGUCCAUUUCAUGUCAUUAUCAUCACUUUUGCCUCCCUUGUGCUGGUGACCAUGGUGAUGAGGCUCACUAAUGUGGAUGGGGAAGUGGUACCCAUAUCCUUGGCCCUGGUGUUGGGCUGGUGCAGUGUUAUGUACUUCACUCGAGGAAUUCAGAUGCUGGGUCCCUUCACCAUCAUGAUCCAGAAGAUGAUAUUUGGAGACUUGAUGCGUUUCUGCUGGUUGAUGGCUAUGGUCAUUCUGGGAUUUGCCUCUGCAUUCUAUAUCAUUUUCCAGACAGAAGACCCAGACAAUCUGGGGGAAUUCUCGAACUAUCCCACGGCACUGUUCAGCACCUUCGAGCUGUUCCUCACCAUCGUCGACGCCCCCGCCAACUACAGCGUGGAUCUGCCCUUCAUGUACAGCAUCGCUUACUCCGCCUUCGCCAUCAUCGCCACCCUGCUCAUGCUCAACCUCUUCAUCGCCAUGAUGGGUGACACUCACUGGCGCGUGGCCCAGGAGAGGGACGAGCUCUGGAGAGCCCAGGUUGUGGCCACCACAGUGAUGCUGGAAAGGAAGAUGCCUCGCUUCCUGUGGCCUCGAUCGGGCAUCUGUGGGUGUGACUAUGGCCUGGGAGACCGCUGGUUCUUGAGGUGAGUGCCAGUGUGUAUGUGUGACCCGAGGACUUGUGUGCACCACAGGAGCAAGAGCCAUCAGGCGAUGAUGUGAUGAGACUGUGGGAGUCUGUCAUGCAGAAAGAGUCUCGGGGCAGUGAUGGUUGUGUUGUGAUCUUGCUCGGGUGAGCAUGGGUUACCCAACUUGCUUUAGUGUUUUCUACUUGUCCCUCAUUUCCAUUUUACUCUGCUCUUGAAUCUCACUUCCUUCUUGAUAUUCUGUCCUCAUCUCUUGACCUGGCUCUCCCUCUCUCCUCUAAGGUGUUUCCUGAGUUGCAUCUUCUGAAGUUGUGACUUCUGAAGUGACUGUUUUCUCUUUCACUUUCCCCUAAAUCAGUGCCACACCCAUGUCUUUCAGCCCUCCAAAUCCAAUUACUCACCCUCUUUCCUUGGCUUCCUAGUUGAGCCUCUCCUCCACCCCCUUCUCCUCCCUUGAUCCUAGAUGCUCUUCCUGCUUCAAUCCUGGUCCUCUCCUCUGCUAUCUAUCCUUGUAAUCCUAUUUCCUCCUUUCUCACCUCUGCUUCUCUCAAAGGCCUGAUCUCUCCUUGG
Molecule: RNA transcript, 2626 nt
Organism: Perognathus longimembris pacificus (Pacific pocket mouse)
Lineage: Eukaryota; Metazoa; Chordata; Mammalia; Rodentia; Heteromyidae
Gene: Trpv5
Gene name: transient receptor potential cation channel subfamily V member 5
Exons: 15
Source: RefSeq, a predicted model, not a curated record